This 70-nucleotide transfer RNA is filed under the name Zebrasoma scopas (twotone tang). RNAcentral's name for it is "tRNA-Pro". It matches the Rfam family "tRNA". From Rfam's summary of the family: Transfer RNA (tRNA) molecules are approximately 80 nucleotides in length. Their secondary structure includes four short double-helical elements and three loops (D, anti-codon, and T loops). The record is from RNAcentral. RNAcentral also lists the same sequence under 2 other names. Lineage: Eukaryota; Metazoa; Chordata; Actinopteri; Acanthuriformes; Acanthuridae.
CAAAGAGUAGUUUAAUUUAGAAUUUUAGCUUUGGGAGUUAACGGUAGGGGUUAAAAUCCCUUCUCUUUGA